This 3188-nucleotide ribosomal RNA is filed under the name Triticum aestivum (bread wheat). RNAcentral's name for it is "partial small subunit ribosomal RNA". The record is from RNAcentral. Lineage: Eukaryota; Viridiplantae; Streptophyta; Magnoliopsida; Poales; Poaceae.
CGGAGGGCGUCGGGGGGGAGGAGCGCGGAAAUUAGCGUAGCGCUGCGCGGUGAUGUCGUAAUCAUCGGCGAAUUAACCAAACGAGCUGCCGCGGAAACGGAGCGUUGAGGGUUGGAGGGGGGCGCAGGCGAGGGGACGGGGGAGCGCGUCGUUCUUUGCCCUUCGGUUCCCUCACGCCGCCGCCCGCCGCCGAUCCCAAGCCUUUACCGCCGGUCACCUCGGCCUCGCCUCCCGCUCCUCGACGCCGACGAGCGGCGGCAGCUCCGGCCGCUGCGGCCGCGCGGGCGCCCCCUCUUCAGCACCGCGGAGUUGAAGCUGCCGAACGCGGGCGGCCUCCGCGUCGUCCUCUCCGGGCGGGCUCCCGAGGUGGUGGUGACGGAGCCGCAGUAUCCAGUUCGAGGACUCCUACAACAGCGACUUAUGAUGGUUGUCGUUCACCUUUACGACCUCCCAAAGUUACUUUACCUACGCGACUGUCUAGCACCAAAAGAAGGACCUUACAGGUUCCUUCUCGCACUUGUCCAACGAUCCUCACUUUGUAAUCGGUAGGCCGACAGUUUGUAACGUUUGUACCAAGAAAAACGACGUUUUCACAUACGAAGUCAUGCAUCACCGAGCGAACGAUAAUAUCGAAGGUGAAACCUAAGAGAAGAACUGAACAAUAGCCCCAAGUAGAAUACCAAAUGACGUAAAAGAUACGUUUGUGGUUUAGGGAUGUCUAUGGGUUAACCAUUUUUCGCGUACGUCGGCGACCCUUAUGAACAGAAACGGAGUCAGUACCGUUGCGAACCGGAAGUCUAGUAGAAUCUUAGUUGAGCUAGUGACAACAGACUACCACCACUUAAGUCGAACUGCUUCCUCGUCCUUUUCACCCAACACCUGUAGUACGAGAGUCACUGCGACCACUUUGAACGGGACCGAAAUAUAACGGCGUGCAAGUGGUUGCUUUAGCAGUUCCGAAUACGCGUCCUAGUGUAAAAGCUACAAUAGUGAUUAUAUUAACCGGAACACCGACGUGACGAGCGUUUAAUAAAACUUCCUACCUAGCUGGGUCAACCACGUUAAUAAGAUCGUUAGAUGUGGUAGUCCUGUACCAGGUACUGCCACGACCUUUUGCAUGUGAGCGAGCAGCCCGUCAGCCGAAGCGGUCUCAUGGAAGUCUUCGACUGGAUGGAAACGACCUUGGUGGUGUUCCGGCACUCCGUGUAGCUGUGCCACGCACGGAUGUGCAAGCCGAGCGUGAUGAAGCACCUCCACCUGUAGCACGACGGCCGGCCAUACGGCGACGUCCUCCGCGUGCUGUAGCCGCUCCGGGACGUCCUCUUCGACCUCGCGGACGGACUCUAGCUCGCGCGGAAGCACGUGGAACUAAUGCUCAAGUGGGUAGCCGGACUCGUGCGAGACAGGGUGCUGUUCAUCGAAGUCCAAGUCGGCCACCUACGUCGAGACAUGUCUAAUUACCGUUAUCAAAGUCUUUAGGCCCACAAGCAGUUCCGCAGCGUCUUUUUGGACGCCCACGUCGUGCCUUGACUUUACACGUAUGACCUCACGGCCUAGACCGCUACAGCUGCAUCUAACACAGAAAACAUUCAACGACAUGAUGCAUGCAUCACAACUCUUGGUUUUGUUUUACUUACCUUGAGAGGAGAGAAAGUAACUACUAAGAUGUAUAUAUCCAUGUCCCUCCUGCGGAGUAACCUCUCCGCAGACAUACACUUGGCCGUGCUGCCAACGGCUUUAUCGUAGGUAGCUGCCAAUUAUGUCCAUCGUAGUAGUAGAACUUUCUAAGAGGAGGUUUUUGGAACACCCUUUUUAUACUCCUCACCACAUCUUAUACAACGAUUUUGAGGAAGUUUGGGUUACCCUUUUUAUUUCUCUUUUACUACGUUGUAUAUUACUAAUAACAGAGAAAGUUGAGUUAUGCUCUUUUGGGUAUCUCAAAUCUCCUGUUAUUUAUACAGCAUAUAUGAAAGGAUUUUUGGGGCCACCCCUUUUGUCUUUCAUACUGUAUACUAGAGUACAACUAUAAUGGAGUAAUUUUUGGAAAUACUCUUGAACAUUUCAUUUGAGUACUUCCCUUUUUCUCAUAUUAUACUACGAAACUUGUCCUUGUUAAGUCCUUCUAUGAGGGGGACUAAGAACGUUUAAGGUUUCGGCAGUCUAUGGUUAAGGUACUUGUACAAAGACCUUACAUUUUCAACCAUCUCUGAACCACUUGUUUAGUCAACGUACUAAACUGAACGUUCUACGUUAUAUCACUAUAACGAAUAAUACAUUGUACAAACAUAGUCCCGUUGUGUUCUUUGUAAUAGCAACUCUAUUACUAACCACUUACAUCGGUACUCCAGACAAAGUUUCUGAGGUACUCUCCCGAUGGUGUGGAUCAUCCUUGUGAUUUGAACAGAUGCUAGACUGUAUCACCCUACUAGCUACAUAGGUUACUAUAACCACAAGUCUAAAGAGGCUUUGACUUUUUGGUCCUGUUCUACAAAGUACGGAACCUCUAUAGCUUUCUAUAAGAAUUCAUGGUUGGUUAACACAAACUGCCUAGGUUACCGUAAUACCUUGUAACUCAGGGUUAUAGAGUAAAGGUGGUAGAGAACCAGAUUUAUCUAGAAAGAGAUGUAAAUCUCUUACUUGAUGGUACUCUCAAUACCUACCUAUUCUAAACAGGUAUUAUUCAAAGAGGUUAUACAAAACCUAUAUCUGUUGUACUACAUGGUAUUACAUACUUACUUCCACGAGUUCAACAUCAUUGCUCGUCACAAAACCAAAUGGGUCUAGGAAGUAAAAUUUAAGGCAGUAAAUCUACUAAUGUACACAGCAGUAACGUCUGUGUGUUUGUACCUAUUAGUAGUAACAUCCUCAUUAGGAACACCUUUCUUUUAGUAAUUCAGCCAACAUGGUUUACAUGGCUGUUGUUAUUCAGCCUACCACUGAAUUACUAAAAUGUGUUACAUACAACGUAAACCAUAAAGCUAAGUCUUAACUCUAAGGUAGCCCUUAGUUAGUAUAUACAGACUUAGAUCACUACGUGUACCUAUACAUUAGUGAUGUAGAUAGUUGACGUCUCUAUCUACUAAAAGAUGACGGUUACUAUAUUCAAUAGCCUUUCUCUAAGGUGGAGACCUCUUAUCAACCCAUAGACGCACUUGGGAAUACGAUGUUAUGAACGAGAAACAAAAGUG